Molecule: non-coding RNA, 573 nt
Organism: Lonchura striata (white-rumped munia)
Lineage: Eukaryota; Metazoa; Chordata; Aves; Passeriformes; Estrildidae
Source: RefSeq, a predicted model, not a curated record
GUUCCCAACCGACCUCGCCGAGCCCAAAGGCGGCCGGCUGCCACCUCCUGCGGGCACCCCCGUGCCAGCCUCCGGCACGCAGGAGCUGCGCUGGCGGUGGGAUGCGGGCACCGGGCACAGCGGCGCCAGCGGCCAGGGCCGGCGGCGGAGCUGGAGAGCCGCGUCCCGCUGAGAGGAUGAAAACAUGGGGCUCAAGUUCUCCUGCCUGAAAGGCUUGAAGAUGUGCGUGAGCAGCGGGAACGGCAGCGAGGGGACCCCAGCGGGACAGAAGCACCUGCACGUGCCCUCCAUCAUCGUCACGCCUCCCACGCCCACGGGGACCACGCUGUCCCGCGAGGGCCGGCGCGGGGAGAGCCCCUCGCCCUGCAGCCCGUGCUGAGAGGGGACACGGGGGGACCCCCAGCCCGGCAGGAGCUGUCCCCUCUCCUCGGGAUGGAGCCCCCAGGCCACGGCCGGGCCGGACGAAGCUGCCAGGGACACGCGGGGCACCCACGCGGGUGGGUUUGGACAGCAGGGACCGGGGUUUGUCCCUUUUGCUAUUCCCCCCACGGCGAAUAAAAACCCGCACCCCCA